GUUAACGUGGCAGAACAUGGCUAUGCGAAAGGCCUAAGCCCUUUACACUAGGGGUUCAAGUCCCCUCGUUAACU
This 74-nucleotide transfer RNA is filed under the name Polypedates impresus. RNAcentral describes it as "tRNA-Leu". It matches the Rfam family "tRNA". Rfam says of the family: Transfer RNA (tRNA) molecules are approximately 80 nucleotides in length. Their secondary structure includes four short double-helical elements and three loops (D, anti-codon, and T loops). Further hydrogen bonds mediate the characteristic L-shaped molecular structure. tRNAs have two regions of fundamental functional importance: the anti-codon, which is responsible for specific mRNA codon recognition, and the 3' end, to which the tRNAs corresponding amino acid is attached (by aminoacyl-tRNA synthetases). tRNAs cope with the degeneracy of the genetic code in two manners: having more than one tRNA (with a specific anti-codon) for a particular amino acid; and 'wobble' base-pairing, i.e. permitting non-standard base-pairing at the 3rd anti-codon position. Lineage: Eukaryota; Metazoa; Chordata; Amphibia; Anura; Rhacophoridae. The record is from RNAcentral.